AUACACGUCUCCGAAUGAGGACAGAUCAGGAACUCCCUGUUCAGUUCACAUAUAUAUCAAUGGAAGCAUAUCAGCUCACAGUAAGUUUCCGUUUACUUAAAGAAUCUUAAUCCGUAAAAAAGGAUGCAAUGAUGAUCAUUUCCCUUGUUAGUAGUUUUUCUCGCAAUGAAUACGUCUCAUCAAUCAUUGGCUAAAUAAAUGGGUCUAAAAAAGUUGGUGCUUUGGUUAAAAAAUAAAAUAAAAUAAUCUUGCUUGUCAGUUAACCCCCCCCAUUUUCGUUGGGAAGGAACAGAAAAUAGAACAAACCAUGACGAACAAGUGAAGUGAUAUUUUUAACACGUAGCUAAAAUCACAUAGUGUUAGGUGGGUGGGGAGAGUUUCUUCAAAUGAAUUAAUAGCUUGCCUCUCUCUGCCUAUACUGAUUUAAUUAAAUAUAAUAUCUUAAUUUAUUUUUGUUUUGGCAUGGAACAGUAACAGUAACGUUAUGGAGAUGAUGAAGUGAGAGUUCAGAAGUCAUGAAGUGGGUAACAACUCAAUAGUUGGUGAAGACAGUUGGCUACCAUACAUCCCUAUAUUCUUCUCUUCCCCAAACACACACACACUCAAAAAAAAAAAAAAAAAAGCAGUACUCAUCAUCAUCACUGUGAAUAAACUUGUUCUUCUGUGUCCCAUCAAUUAAAAGAUUAUCAUAAUAAUUUAGUCAAAAGAAAUCUGAAAUAUGUAUUUAUAUGAAUGAUCAGAUUAAGAGAUAUGUAUAUUGGUAGAUAGGGUAUGAUAGAAAUUUACAUCUUGAAUGUCUUGAUCCGUCAAGUAACCAAACUUGAGCAUGGUGGCAGCCACAUAUACUGCUACUCUGAUCUUCUUUGCGAACUUGUGGGUGGCCUGCGUUACGCUUAGCCCUCCAGCGCUGUGCCCGACCAAUAUCACCUAUAAACACGACCAACAUAUAUAUGCAUGUUUAUCCAUAUCUGUACAUGAAUUAAUUAAUGUAUCUAGAAAGUAACAAAGGACCUGGUGAUUAUCAGGCAAGGAGGACAUGAAGUCCAUGAGAGGCUUAUUAUAAUCAUCAAAAGAAAGGAUAGAAUUAGC
This 1089-nucleotide long non-coding RNA is filed under the name Ricinus communis (castor bean). RNAcentral's name for it is "long non-coding RNA (RCOM_LNC001301)". Lineage: Eukaryota; Viridiplantae; Streptophyta; Magnoliopsida; Malpighiales; Euphorbiaceae. The record is from RNAcentral.